GGGGAAUUUUUGGACAAUGGGCGAAAGCCUGAUCCAGCAAUGCCGCGUGUGUGAAGAAGGCCUUCGGGUUGUAAAGCACUUUUUGUCCGGAAAGAAAUCCUUGGCUCUAAUACAGUCGGGGGAUGACGGUACCGGAAGAAUAAGCACCGGCUAACUACGUGCCAGCAGCCGCGGUAAUACGUAGGGUGCAAGCGUUAAUCGGAAUUACUGGGCGUAAGCGUGCGCAGGCGGUUUGCUAAGACCGAUGUGAAAUCCCCGGGGCUAACCUGGGAACUGCAUUGGUGACUGGCAGGCUAGAGUAUGGCAGAGGGGGGUAGAAUUCCACGUGUAGCAGUGAAAUGCGUAGAGAUGUGGAGGAAUACCGAUGGGCGAAAGGCAGCCCCCCUGGGGCCAAAUACUGACGCUCAUGCACGAAAAGCGUGGGGAGCAAACAGGAUUAGAUACCCUGGUAGUCCACGCCCUAAACGAUGUCAACUAGUUGUUGGGGGACUUCAUUUUCCUUAGUAACGUAGCUAACGCGUGAAGUUGACCGCCUGGGGAGUACGUCGCAAGAUUAAAACUCAAAGGAAUUGACGGGGUCAUAGCUGUUUCCU
Molecule: ribosomal RNA, 593 nt
Filed under: uncultured bacterium
Lineage: Bacteria
Description: partial 16S ribosomal RNA
Rfam family: Bacterial small subunit ribosomal RNA
Source: RNAcentral